GAUACCAGGGUCAAAAGGUCCUGCGUUUCAUGCCUGCAUGAAACAGCAUGACUUUGAGACACGUAAAACAUGAGAAAGCAGCCCGGACAGGGCGGAUUUCGAAUGCUUUUCGGGUUGCGGGAGCACGCAGUGCGCAGCAAUCCGCAGGUAUC
Molecule: small RNA, 152 nt
Filed under: Ruminococcus gauvreauii
Lineage: Bacteria; Bacillati; Bacillota; Clostridia; Eubacteriales; Oscillospiraceae
Description: Clostridiales-1 RNA
Rfam family: Clostridiales-1 RNA
Source: RNAcentral